GACAGAGGGGGCAAGCGUUGCUCGGAAUCACUGGGCGUAAAGGGCGCGUAGGCGGGAUGGCAAGUCAGUCGUGAAAUCUCUCGGCUCAACCGAGAAACGUCGGCUGAUACUGCCGUUCUUGAGGUAUGCAGAGGAGACUGGAAUUCCCGGUGUAGCGGUGAAAUGCGUAGAUAUCGUAAGGAAGACCAGUGGCGAAGGCGGGUCUCUGGACAGUUCCUGACGCUGAGGCACGAAGGUCAGGGGAGCAAACGGG
This 253-nucleotide ribosomal RNA is filed under the name uncultured bacterium. RNAcentral describes it as "partial 16S ribosomal RNA". It matches the Rfam family "Bacterial small subunit ribosomal RNA", at positions 524 to 776 of the family's 1533-position model. The record is from RNAcentral.